Molecule: long non-coding RNA, 530 nt
Organism: Oncorhynchus tshawytscha (Chinook salmon)
Lineage: Eukaryota; Metazoa; Chordata; Actinopteri; Salmoniformes; Salmonidae
Exons: 2
Source: RefSeq, a predicted model, not a curated record
AUUGGACGGACACACACACUGGACACAUACACACACACACUGGACACAAACACAUUGGAUACCCACACACACUGGACACACAAACCCUGGACACACACACACUGGACACACACUGGACACACACCAGUGGAUGCUAGGCAGUUUCUGUAUCACAGCUUCUAUCCCAGUUCUAUCUGCCUGUUAAAUCAGUUUCUGGACCACAGGUUCUAGAACAGCUUCUAUCCCAGUUCUAUCUGCCUGUUAAAUCAGUUUCUGGACCACAGGUUCUAGAACAGCUUCUAUCCCAGUUCUAUCUGCCUGUUAAAUCAGUUUCUGGACCACAGGUUCUAGAACAGCUUCUAUCCCAGUUCUAUCUGCCUGUUAAAUCAGUUUCUGGACCACAGGUUCUAGAACAGCUUCUAUCCCAGUUCUAUCUGCCUGUUAAAUCAUCAACCUAAACUGUUUUCAUCAGACUAUUAGAACAUGACUGAACCUUUUGGUUCCUUUUCUGAUCUUUUACCACUUUGCAUUUUUUAUGAUAUAUUUUACUG